CCAACAGGGAUUCCCCUAGUAGCUGCGAGCGAACGGGGAUGAGCCCAUCGCCGAAUCCCGCAUCCUCGUGGUGUCUGGGAAAUGUGGCGUUGGGGGGAUGGUUCUUCUGGCGUCGGGAUAGGCUGUGAGUUCCCCUGACCGGGACGUUUUUCCCAGAGCGGGUGCAAGGCCCGUAGCAGCCACUUCCCGUGCCAGUUGCCUCCCCUCCUAGAGUCGGGUUGCUUGAGAGUGCAACCCUAAGUAGGUGGUAAGCUCCAUCUAAGGCUAAAUACCGCUGCGAAACCGAUAGCAAACAAGUACCGUGAGGGAAAGUUGCAAAGAACUUUGAAGAGAGAGUUCAAGAGGACGUGAAACCGCUUGGAGGUAAACGGGUGGAACCACGAACUUCCCUGGCGGGAGGAUUCAGUGCGCGAUCGGUUUCGGCCGUCGGGUUUUUUAAAGCGAGGGACCGUCACUCGGCCCUACCCGAUCUGGUUCGUUCCGUCGCGUACGCAUUUCUUUCCCGCCCUCGGGACGUCGCGACUGGUCUGGGGGACGGCGUGACUGCGCGGCAAACGGGCAGGUAACCGGCGCGGCCUUCAACGGUCGUCGUCGGCCCUUAUAGCCCUGUCGGCAGGAACUCUUCCCACCGUGACCGAGGCCCUCAGGUGUCUCCGUACGGAGACGCGGCCCUCCCCUGCUCUGUGGUGGAGCAGCGCAGACAGCGCCCAGGCGUUUCCAGCCGCCCUUUUUUGUGCUCUGUUGUGCCGCCACUCACGAAAGUGACGGCGCGAGGCUGGUCGCCGUUGGGUUAGCGCUCGUCUUGCGCGGGGUGGCUCGGGUGUCWUGAAACACGGACCAAGAAGUCCAACACGUACGCGAGUCACGGGGUCUCUAAGAAGCCCAAUGGCGCAAUGAAAUGUGAAGGUCGUCCUUUGAUGACGACCGAGUUGCGAUCGCGCGUCUUGGAGGCGCGCGCGCAGCAACGGCCCGUCCUAACUGCUUCGUCAGUGGGGCGGAGCUAGAGCGUACGUGUUGGGACCCGAAAGAUGGUGAACUAUGCCUGGGCAAGGCGAAGCCAGGGGAAACUCUGGUGGAGGUCUGUAGCGAUUCUGACGUGCAAAUCGAUCGUCAGACCUAGGUAUAGGGGCGAAAGACUAAUCGAACCAUCUAGUAGCUGGUUCCUUCCGAAGUUUCCCUCAGGAUAGCUGGCGCUCGGGGAACCCAGUCUCAUCCGGUAAAGCGAAUGACUAGAGGCCUUGGGGCCGAAACGACCUCAACCUAUUCUCAAACUUUCAAUGGGUGAGAGCACGGGCCUGCUUGGAGAUGAGGCCCGUGACUAUUGGAUGCGAGUGCCUAGUGGGCCAUUUUUGGUAAGCAGAACUGGCGCUGUGGGAUGAACCAAACGCCGGGUUGUGGUGUCGGAGGCAGACGCUCAUGAGACCCCAUGAAAGGUGUUGGUUGCUCUAGACAGCAGGACGGUGGCCAUGGAAGUUGGAAACCGCUAAGGAGUGUGUAACAACUCACCUGCCAAAGCAAGUAGCCCUGAAAAUGGAUGUCGCUGAAGCGUCGCACCCAUACCCGGCCGCUGCGACACGGAGGUAAGUCGCAGCGAGUAGGAAGGACGCAGCGGUGUGCGUUGAAGGUGACGGGCGUGGGCCCGCCUGGAGCCGCCGCUGGUGCAGAUCUUGGUGGUAGUAGCAAAUACUCAAGUGAGACCCUUGAGGACCGACGUGGAGAAGGGUUCCAUGUGAACAGCAGUUGAACAUGGGUCAGUCGGUCCUAAGGAAUCGGAGAAAUCCGUUCUGAAGGCGGGACAUCGUUUUGGUGCAUGGCGUGUCCCGACCGAGACCGAAAGGGAAUCGGGUUAAUAUUCCCGAACCCGGACACGGAGAUCGGUUCUUCGGAACCCAGUGCGGUAACGCAACCGAACUCUGAGACGCUGGCUGGGACCCCGGGAAGAGUUGUCUUUUCUUUGUAAGGUGGCGGCUCCCUGGAAUCGGUUCGCCCGGAGAUAGGGAUGAUGUCACCGUAAAGCACCGCGGUUCUUGCGGUGUCCGGAGCGUUCUGGCCGGCCCUUGAAAAUCAGAGGGAGGGAGUGUGAUUUUCGUGCCGGACCGUACCCAUAUCCGCAGCAGGUCUCCA
This 2124-nucleotide ribosomal RNA is filed under the name Solifugae sp. MCZ IZ-125196. Its description in RNAcentral is "eukaryotic LSU rRNA". It matches the Rfam family "Eukaryotic large subunit ribosomal RNA", at positions 65 to 1870 of the family's 3401-position model. Lineage: Eukaryota; Metazoa; Arthropoda; Arachnida; Solifugae. The record is from RNAcentral.